GUUGGGGAAUUAAGAACAAAGUACAGGCGGGCACACCUGUGGUCCCAGCUACUUUGGAAGCUGAGGCAGGAGGAGCACUUGAGCCCAGUAGUUCUGGGCUACAGUGCAUUAUGCUGGUGGGGUGUCCACACUAAGAGCAGCAUCAAUAUGAUGACCUCUCAGGAGUAGGGGACCACCAGGUUGCCUAAGGAGGGGUGAACCUGCCAAGGUCAGAAACAAGCAGAUUAAAACUCCUGUGUUGAGAAGUGGGAAGGAGCCUAUGAAUAAACAUUGUAUUUCAGCCUGGGCAAUACAGCAACAUCCUAUCUUAU
Molecule: unclassified non-coding RNA, 311 nt
Organism: Pongo abelii (Sumatran orangutan)
Lineage: Eukaryota; Metazoa; Chordata; Mammalia; Primates; Hominidae
Rfam family: Metazoan signal recognition particle RNA
About the family: The signal recognition particle (SRP) is a universally conserved ribonucleoprotein. It is involved in the co-translational targeting of proteins to membranes.
Source: Ensembl